UGAAGGUUUCGAAGAAAGAAGGAUGUGAUUCAGAUUAUUCCGAUAACAAUCGUCUUAUCAACAUGAUAAAUGAAAAAACGCCGUAUAGACACCUCCUCAGAUGACAGUCGUCAGUGGUACGAGGUGAUGCUUGCCCUGGCUGCCAAAUCAGCUAUGGAGUGGUUGGCAAGAGUCAAUUUUGAGCACAGAUCCAUGCGCCGUAACAUACCACAACAGAGACGUCAAAAAGUCUCCAAGAAACAAGACUUAGAUUCCUCUUUUUAUGUCUUCUAAGGAGGAUUUGAUAUGGAUAUGUCUGCAUGGGCGCAAAUUGUUCGCAAAGCCACCAUCAUCACAGUACAAAUGUACUUUGAAUUUGCACAAUUUCGCCUUCUUUUGGGGCAUGUGUAUGAAUGUGCUGUUUUAUAUAAUUAUACAACACAGUUGUUGCAUUGUUUUGGCAAAAUUAUAACCAUCUCAGUACCACUGUUGUCAGAAUUAGUGUUCACACCGUUUCUGCACUGCAUUUUAUGAUCCCUUAUGUGUGAUGUACAUAGACAAUGUUUUAUAUAUAUGUAUAUAGAAUUCAUUUGCUGCGUGCUUUAGCAGAUGUAUUUAUUUAUUUGGCAAAGUUUCAUUUGCUUUUAAAAGGAUGGAUGGAUGGAUGUAUUAGAUAGAUAGAGAGAUAUAGAUAGAUGGAUGGAUGGAUGGAUGGAUGGAUACUCAUUCUAGUUUACUGACAAGGAAUUAAACUCUGGAUCGCUCAAAUUAUCUUACUCAUACACUAUGUGUAUAUAUGUAUAUAGUAAA
Molecule: long non-coding RNA, 789 nt
Organism: Saccostrea echinata
Lineage: Eukaryota; Metazoa; Mollusca; Bivalvia; Ostreida; Ostreidae
Exons: 4
Source: RefSeq, a predicted model, not a curated record